RNAcentral lists this ribosomal RNA (440 nucleotides) under uncultured bacterium. RNAcentral's name for it is "bacterial SSU rRNA". It matches the Rfam family "Bacterial small subunit ribosomal RNA", at positions 338 to 794 of the family's 1533-position model. The record is from RNAcentral.
CCUACGGGAGGCAGCAGUCGGGAAUAUUGCCCAAUGGACGAAAGUCUGAGGCAGCAACGCCGCGUGCGCGAUGAAGGCCUUCGGGUCGUAAAGCGCUUUUCGGGAGGAUGAGGAAGGACAGUACUCCCGGAAUAAGGUACGGCUAACUACGUGCCAGCAGCCGCGGUAAAACGUAGGUACCGAGCGUUAUCCGGAUUUACUGGGCGUAAAGCGCGUUCAGGCGGCUUGGCAAGUCGGGCAUGAAAUCUCUCGGCUCAACCGGGAGGGGCUGUCCGAUACUGCUGGGCUUGAGGGCAGGAGAGGGUGGUGGAAUUCCGGGUGUAGUGGUGAAAUGCGUAGAGAUCCGGAGGAACACCAGUGGCGAAAGCGGCCACCUGGCCUGCACCUGACGCUCCAACGCGAAAGCUAGGGGAGCGAACGGGAUUAGAUACCCUAGUAGU